GACGAACGCUGGCGGCGCGCCUAACACAUGCAAGUCGAACGGAGUUGUGUUGAAAGCUUGCUGGAUAUACAACUUAGUGGCGGACGGGUGAGUAACACGUGAGUAACCUGCCUCUCAGAGUGGAAUAACGUUUGGAAACGAACGCUAAUACCGCAUAACGUGAGAAGAGGGCAUCCUUCUUUUUACCAAAGAUUUAUCGCUGAGAGAUGGGCUCGCGGCCGAUUAGGUAGUUGGUGAGAUAACAGCCCACCAAGCCGACGAUCGGUAGCCGGACUGAGAGGUUGAUCGGCCACAUUGGAACUGAGAAACGGUCCAG
RNAcentral lists this ribosomal RNA (316 nucleotides) under uncultured bacterium. Its description in RNAcentral is "bacterial SSU rRNA". It matches the Rfam family "Bacterial small subunit ribosomal RNA", at positions 28 to 334 of the family's 1533-position model. The record is from RNAcentral.